CACUCCUACGGGAGGCAGCAGUGGGGAAUAUUGGACAAUGGGCGCAAGCCUGAUCCAGCCAUGCCGCGUGAGUGAUGAAGGCCCUAGGGUUGUAAAGCUCUUUCACCGGUGAAGAUAAUGACGGUAACCGGAGAAGAAGCCCCGGCUAACUUCGUGCCAGCAGCCGCGGUAAUCCGAAGGGGGCUAGCGUUGUUCGGAUUUACUGGGCGUAAAGCGCACGUAGGCGGACUAUUAAGUCAGGGGUGAAAUCCCGGGGCUCAACCCCGGAACUGCCUUUGAUACUGGUAGUCUUGAGUUCGAGAGAGGUGAGUGGAAUUCCGAGUGUAGAGGUGAAAUUCGUAGAUAUUCGGAGGAACACCAGUGGCGAAGGCGGCUCACUGGCUCGAUACUGACGCUGAGGUGCGAAAGCGUGGGGAGCAAACAGGAUUAGAAACCCUAGUAGUCCCAUGAU
RNAcentral lists this ribosomal RNA (451 nucleotides) under uncultured organism. RNAcentral describes it as "partial 16S ribosomal RNA". It matches the Rfam family "Bacterial small subunit ribosomal RNA", at positions 334 to 801 of the family's 1533-position model. The record is from RNAcentral.